GAGGAUGUAGCUCAGUGGUAGAAUGCAUGCCUAGCACGCAUACAGUCCUGGGUUCAAUCCCCAGUACCUCCA
RNAcentral lists this transfer RNA (72 nucleotides) under Camelus bactrianus (Bactrian camel). It matches the Rfam family "tRNA". Rfam says of the family: Transfer RNA (tRNA) molecules are approximately 80 nucleotides in length. Their secondary structure includes four short double-helical elements and three loops (D, anti-codon, and T loops). Further hydrogen bonds mediate the characteristic L-shaped molecular structure. tRNAs have two regions of fundamental functional importance: the anti-codon, which is responsible for specific mRNA codon recognition, and the 3' end, to which the tRNAs corresponding amino acid is attached (by aminoacyl-tRNA synthetases). tRNAs cope with the degeneracy of the genetic code in two manners: having more than one tRNA (with a specific anti-codon) for a particular amino acid; and 'wobble' base-pairing, i.e. permitting non-standard base-pairing at the 3rd anti-codon position. The record is from Rfam by way of RNAcentral. RNAcentral also lists the same sequence under 1 other name. Lineage: Eukaryota; Metazoa; Chordata; Mammalia; Artiodactyla; Camelidae.